CAGAUCUAUUUGUGUUUACCUCUGGGAGGUUCAGCACACACACAUCUGUACAUACAUUACAUGAAUUAAAAUUUUAUGCAUGGCCACACGUAAAUCAUUUAGAGGCCUUUUGCUGCCACUUCUAUGGUCGACACUUUGGUUUCUUGUCCUCUCAGACCAGCAGGUGGAGGUGAAGGUGAGGGAAGGAUCAGAGUCUGUCAUCCUGCCCUGCAAAACAAAACCCAACCUGCCUGAGAAUACCACAGUGGAGUGGACUCGCUCUGACCUCGGACUCAUCACAGUCCAUGAGUAUUCUAACAGAAAUGAUGACCUUAUGACUCAGGAUGAAGUUUACACAAAUAGAACAAAGAUGAAUGAAGACCUGCUGAGAACUGGAGACCUCAGUCUGACCCUGAAAUACCCCAAAGUCAAAGACACGGGACGAUACAUCUGCAACAUCUACAGGGACAAAGACAUCCUGAGACAGAAAGUCAUGCUGCAGGUCAAAAAACCAUUUCCAUCCUGGUUCAAAGAUCUUCUGGUUCUCCUGUUUGUCUUUGUGAUUUUUGGAGGUCUUUUAUAUUAUUUACGUCACUAUUACAUGUCAGGUAAGUGUCUUUCCUACUACACUACCCAUAAUACCACUGGUUAA
Molecule: long non-coding RNA, 631 nt
Filed under: Oreochromis niloticus (Nile tilapia)
Lineage: Eukaryota; Metazoa; Chordata; Actinopteri; Cichliformes; Cichlidae
Description: lncRNA (ENSONIG00000035369.1)
Source: RNAcentral